Long non-coding RNA from Syzygium oleosum, 1800 nucleotides. RefSeq lists it as uncharacterized. Lineage: Eukaryota; Viridiplantae; Streptophyta; Magnoliopsida; Myrtales; Myrtaceae. The record is from RefSeq and is a predicted model, not a curated record. The transcript has 8 exons.
CUGUAAUUUCCGAGAGAAGUUACAGCUUCCUGUACUGCUUGAACUGGAUCUAGGGGGUUUCUUUCGAAAGAUGAAGUCGUUGCGGGAAGUCCAAAUAAACCAAAAGAUGGUUGCUACAAGCGCCAGAGAAGGGAUGGUUGAGCCCAUAUGUCUCGCGUCCAAGGACAAAAGAGAAGGAGAUGCUCUGUGGAUUCCACCUGGUCUUUGCACAAUGAGCAGUAAGGAUCUGGUACUAUUUUUUCGGUUGUAUCUCAUUUCAUAAAGCUCGAGGAGCCGAGAAAGAUGAGGAGGCCAUUAGGGCUUUUGGAUAGUCUCGAUACUUUCGAUUUCAUAUUUUCCACGAGGAUGCUCGAUUGGAAGAUCAAUUGCUCCAAAUAAGUCAUAUGUUACUGAAGUAUGACGAGGAAGAUAUGCGAGGAUAGGGGUGAUGCUACGUUAUGGAGACGUGAGUUCAGUCUGAUGGUUUUAUGUAGAAUCAAGCUGCACAUUUCACAUAUUCAGCUGCUUUGAGGACGGUUAGGAGGUUGUGGUGAGAAGAUGCAGAGCUCUUACAUUGGUGUUUCCGUGUCCCUGUUGGGGUAUGAACAAGUUCGAUUGGUUCUCAAGAGGAUUCAACUUUAGAGAACCGGUGGAUGCAAAAUGCUAAUAAACAUGGAGGCUAUCUGUUUACCUGUGCCUACGAGUGGAGAUUGAACAUGGAAAUUGGGGAAUUUCAGAAGUAGAAUCUUAGGGGCACUGAAUUGUCUAUGGACUUCCCUUUCAUAAAUGCCAAUUUGACUGGCUUGCGUAACAAGUGUGGUUAUGCUCAAGUCAUCAAUUCAAAGUCAAGCUCUGAAUGUGGUAAUGCAAUGCUAGUCUCUACUCUCUAGUCCAUGUCCACUUGCCCAAAGUAGCGCAUGAGACCGGUUUCCUAUUGUUUACGCAUCACUUGUUUGAUUCAGGAAUGGCUAAAUAUGGAGGUCUAGUGAAAUUAUACUUCGACGAACCUUGUCCUAGGCUGUCUGACUCUGAGUUAUUAGUGAAAGUGUUUCGAGUCAUUCUAAUUAUCCAUUGUACAUGUCGAAAUGUACCUUACUGCAGCCUUGAAUUAGAGAGGAAGAUAUCACAAGAAGUUGAUGAAGGUUGAGUACCAUAAUUUCAAAACGGACAGCUUCUGCGGCGGGUGUGUUCUCCCUAAGAAAGACGGCGUCGGAGAGGACAGUGGUUGGAUCCUGUCUUGGGUACAUAAUGAAGAAACAGAUGUGUCCCAGGUUCACGUGAUUGAUGCGCAGAAGUUUGAAGGCGAGCCAGUAGCCAAAAUCACUCUGCCUCAACGAGUACCCUAUGGAUUUCAUGGUACCUUCGUCUUGAUACCAAAUUGAUGAUCGGGACACCAGAUCUCAUGUACAAAUCAUAGUAGGAGGCCUUACUUCUAUCAUUAGAUAAUAGGUUUUUUGCCUUUUGCAUGUGAUGUUCUUUCUAACUUUCUGAGUCUAGUUUUGUGCUAGCAUUUCCUGCUUUUAUCAGUAAACUGCAUCUACCCUGAAAAAGUAGAGAGUUAAGAGACUGGCUACCCCGAACUGCAUCGCUCUUUAAGCUACUGUACCCAAUAAAAGUCAAGCAUGUCUAUCCACCGACUCUACUGUGAGACCAAUGGCUAGAAUUUUGCCUACUCAUCAAGUAAUUCAUGGGCUCUUUUUGACUAAUCCAAGAUAUAUGUUGCUUGUAUAUAGAGGAGAGAUUUAGAUGCUUCUUGAAAGUUGAUCACUUAUUCUAACAGUAUCCUUUCAAAAGUAAAUAAAGGUCACAUUAUUCAUGGCA